RNAcentral lists this non-coding RNA (27 nucleotides) under Rattus norvegicus (Norway rat). The record is from RNAcentral. Lineage: Eukaryota; Metazoa; Chordata; Mammalia; Rodentia; Muridae.
UUCAGAUCACCAAUAAACUUUCCGUUG